UAAUGAGGUUAUGCAAGUCUUCUAAAUUUGUUUUGGGGUGUCCUACUCAUUUU
Molecule: transfer RNA, 53 nt
Filed under: Mecistocirrus digitatus
Lineage: Eukaryota; Metazoa; Nematoda; Chromadorea; Rhabditida; Trichostrongylidae
Description: tRNA-Ser
Source: RNAcentral